Long non-coding RNA from Heterocephalus glaber (naked mole-rat), 1031 nucleotides. RefSeq lists it as uncharacterized. NCBI's taxonomy places the organism in Eukaryota, Metazoa, Chordata, Mammalia, Rodentia, Bathyergidae. The record is from RefSeq and is a predicted model, not a curated record.
GCCCAUUAAAAUAUUGUUGCUUUAGAAUAUGUAUUUGGCUAGAGUAUUUCACAGGGAACUGGUUGUUUUUCAGAAUAUAUGUUUUUCAUGUUUCAAAAUAUUAUUGGAAGAUUCACUGAAACUGAAUUAAAUCUUAUUGCUUUUUGACAUUCUGGUAAACUCAAGUGUAUGUACAAAGAUUCGUGCCACUCUCCUACUGGCUUAGUUUGUAUAGUUCUUUCAUUUGUAUGCAUGUUUACAAAACAAUAAUAAUACAUAACAUAAAAUAAAUCAUCAACCCAAACAUUUGAAUAGGGCUGGGAAGCACUGUUAUGUGCUCAUAGGGUUACAAGAGCAGGAGCAACCAACUGUGGUUGAAUUCCAGGCUGAAGCUGAAGUCAGCAAUGUCAGGUCAAACAUCCUACGCCAUUAAUCUGAGCCCCAAUUCUUUUCCUUGUAAAUUAUUUACAGCAGUGGCUCCCAUAUAGACAGCCUUCAAUCCUGUUGGCCAUUCCACAUUGUUUCCCUCAUCUUUUGCAAUUUUCACAACAAAUUUAUGAUGUGGAUGCACAAAUCAUUUUUGGAUUUCAACCCAGCUUUUUCUGAAGUAAAGAGCCACACUCUUCUUUGUAACCUACACCUGUGUUUCUGAUGUCAUCAUUCAUGAACAUGAAGAGCACUCUUGGAUCCUGGUGACAUGCAGCUGCAUGUCCACAGGGUUAGCAGAGAGACUGUCUGUGGGACUGCCCUAUGCUAAAUUUCUGUCUUUCAGACCUUGGGCCAGCAUCAUGUCCUGGGAGCUAAGUUGAGUCUGCCAUGAACUACUGCCUGUCUGCCAUGCCACCCUCCUUUGAGCCAGCUUAUUAUGGAUUUAAACCUCUACAAACUCUCUUUUUCCAUGGUUGAACUACAAGAAAAGAACAAGAUCUAUUAUGCAUGAAUUACCAAAGUUGAACGAAGAAGACCUAAAAAUUCUAAACAACCCAAUAUCAAUCAAUGAAAUUGAAAAUGUAAUUAAACACUUACCAACUAAGAAAAUCCCAGGUCCUGAU